RNAcentral lists this ribosomal RNA (209 nucleotides) under Salmonella enterica. RNAcentral's name for it is "partial 16S ribosomal RNA". It matches the Rfam family "Bacterial small subunit ribosomal RNA", at positions 1 to 216 of the family's 1533-position model. The record is from RNAcentral. Lineage: Bacteria; Pseudomonadati; Pseudomonadota; Gammaproteobacteria; Enterobacterales; Enterobacteriaceae.
AAAUUGAAGAGUUUGAUCAUGGCUCAGAUUGAACGCUGGCGGCAGGCCUAACAGAUGCAAGUCGAACGGUAACAGGAAGCAGCUUGCUGCUUCGCUGACGAGUGGCGGACGGGUGAGUAAUGUCUGGGAAACUGCCUGAUGGAGGGGGAUAACUACUGGAAACGGUGGCUAAUACCGCAUAACGUCGCAAGACCAAAGAGGGGGACCUU